Molecule: ribosomal RNA, 361 nt
Filed under: uncultured bacterium
Lineage: Bacteria
Description: bacterial SSU rRNA
Source: RNAcentral
GUGCCAGCAGCCGCGGUAAUACGUAGGUGGCAAGCGUUAUCCGGAAUUAUUGGGCGUAAAGCGCGCGUAGGCGGUUUUUUAAGUYUGAUGUGAAAGCCCACGGCUCAACCGUGGAGGGUCAUUGGAAACUGGAAAACUUGAGUGCAGAAGAGGAAAGUGGAAUUCCAUGUGUAGCGGUGAAAUGCGCAGAGAUAUGGAGGAACACCAGUGGCGAAGGCGACUUUYUGGUCUGUAACUGACGCUGAUGUGCGAAAGCGUGGGGAUCAAACAGGAUUAGAUACCCUGGUAGUCCACGCCGUAAACGAUGAGUGCUAAGUGUUAGGGGGUUUCCGCCCCUUAGUGCUGCAGCUAACGCAUUAAG